UACGUAGGUGGCAAGCGUUGUCCGGAUUUAUUGGGCGUAAAGCGCGCGCAGGCGGUCUUUUAAGUCUGAUGUGAAAUCUCGCGGCUCAACCGUGAGCGGUCAUUGGAAACUGGAAGACUUGAGUACAGAAGAGGAGAGUGGAAUUCCACGUGUAGCGGUGAAAUGCGUAGAUAUGUGGAGGAACACCAGUGGCGAAGGCGACUCUCUGGUCUGUAACUGACGCUGAGGCGCGAAAGCGUGGGGAGCGAACAGG
RNAcentral lists this ribosomal RNA (253 nucleotides) under uncultured bacterium. Its description in RNAcentral is "partial 16S ribosomal RNA". It matches the Rfam family "Bacterial small subunit ribosomal RNA", at positions 524 to 776 of the family's 1533-position model. The record is from RNAcentral.